AACAAGACGAAAUAAACACAAAGAUUAGUUCAGACAUGGAACUAUACUAAUGGAACAACAGCUCCUAGUUUUUACUAGGGGAGUGCCGUCGCGCAUCAUUUUCACGCAUGGUGCAAUAUGGAGAAAUUCAGGAGGAUGCAAAAGAAGAAAUUUAUUCCUCCAGUCACAUGGACUGACCUUCAAUGAGAGUAAAACUUUCCUACGCUUUAUUUUAUUAGAUCUCUAAAAACUUCAUCCAUUUUCUCACAAUGUUUUGUGAUUUAUAAAAUUUUCCUGAAUAAGGGAUCGUCACAAAAGUUAUUUUUUUAAGGCCACCCCAUUAAAAUAGCUGUUUUCAGUACAUUCACAUUUGGGUAUUUUACACAAAAUCUGGAUUUUUUUUUAUGUACAUGAAAUCAUUAUCAUCUGUCCCGCGUAACUAAAUCCUCCACUUUUCCUGUCACCAAUGUUCUUAACAAGAGAGAGAGGCUGGUCCAUUAUUUGCGUAGUCCAGCCAGCUUUUCUUCUGACAAACCUUUUUUCGUUCAUUCUCUUAAAGGAUAUUUUUUUUUAAAGUUAGUCUUACAAAAUACAAUUCCAAACCAACUCAUGCAGUUAUCGUCUUUUCACAGUAUUGGAGAGUCAUCCUUUUUGCCAGCCAGAGUGUUAAUUGGCAAAAAUCUAAAUCUAGACUUCACAUCACAUGAUUAUUGAUACAGACAGUGAAUGAAACAGAUGCAGUGAUUAUAUUAUAGUUUAUACUGACUUAUAGCUCUACCAGUUGAUUAUCAUCAUCAUCAUCUCGAAUAAUAAUCUAGAAUCUAGACUACCUUCUAGACUAGAUCUAGCAUCUCUAGCUAGACUAUAACCUGUAGUUUGUAGAUCUUGGAAUUGGAUCGAAAUUCACCUUCCUAAAUUGUCUCUAAAGUCUGUAGCUGAUUUGAGAGGCCCAACGAGGCAAGAGUCUAUUACUAUUAGUACUCUUCUCUUGAUCUAUCUAGUAGGCCUACUUAGCUAGUGCAUUAGCCUUAGCCAUAGAUAGUGUAGUCAAAUCUUGACAACUAGUCUUCUAGAUCUAGAUCCAGUUUAGAUUUAGAAUAUAAAAGUAUUUUACUAGCUAAAAUACUAAAUCUACUGAUCUAAAUUCUAGAUAGAUAUACAAUAUAUAGAUCCAGUUUAGAUUUGGAAUAUAAAAAUAUUUACUAGCUAAAAUUCUAAAUCUACUGAUCUAUACUUAAUAUUUUAGAUAUUAUAUGACAUCUACAAAAAUUAUUAUUAAGAUAUAAUUAUAGAAUCUAGACUAGUUAUUUAUGUACAUAAAAUUUAUAUAUAAAUAAAAGAUAAAAUUUAUGCAGGCCUAGAUCCCAUAAAUUUAUAAUUGAUCCAGAUCUAUCAGUAAAAGUUACCUUCGAUGGGAAGUUUUACCCAAUCUAAUCUAAUCCAUGCCUCGCCUACACCCCAUACAUUAAAUAAUAGUUCCCAUUCCAUGCCAUGCCCAGACCCAUGAGUUCAUGAAAUAAUAAAUGAUGUGGUGUCAAGUUGGAUCUAUCCCCUGAAAUUCAGCACUUUAAUAUAAAACUCUCAUAUCUAGUUAAUUAUUUGCUAUGACACUCUGAUCAACUUGGACUUGUGUGAUACAUAUAUGUUUCUUAUCAGAUUUAAUGAAUGAAGUUUUGGUGCAUUUUAAGGCUACAAAAGUAUCAUCAGGUGCAUUCUAACCAUUGGUAUUUUUCCUGGCAACAUUUCUUUUCUAGUCUGUGAUAAAUUAUAAAUUUAAAAAAAUGUUUGUAAUGUUUCAGUUAUUAACAAGUAGAACCAUGCCAACCAGUUCUGAUGAUGUACCAGAAUGGCUCAAGGAUCAUACUUAUACUAUUUCUACUCUCUGGGCAGACAUUAAUAAUAUUGGCAUCCAUUCAAUAUUUAUUUUAUGUUUGGAAAUGCAAGAAAAAGGCAUGCAUUCCUGACAAGUCAAUGAUUGGUUGCACCUCUUAAAGAUAACUUUCUGUUAUGAGAAAAGAUGAGAUUCUUGGACUCCUGCAUAGCACCACCAGAAAGGAAAAUCCCAUCAUGUUGCAAAAUAAAAGUCUUGGACCAAUUUUAAUUUAAGAUAUAUAUAUUAUACUGUAAGCUCUAUACAUAUUUAUGUAUAUCCUGUCAUUCAGCCAACAGGUUUGGAUUUAGUAUUUCUUUAAAUCUGUUUGAUAUUGUACUUGAAAACUAUUAAUCUGAGCCCCAUUAAAACAAUAGGGAGUGCAGUGAAUGAGUGGUAAAGCACUUGGCUUCUGAACUGAGGGUUCCUGGGUUCAAUUAAGACUGGGAUUUUCAAUUUCAGAAUUCAAAAGGCUAGGGAUACAUGGCAAUAGUAAGGAAUAAGUAAAGGCAGUUUGGGGAUCCAUGGCUGAAUGGUUAAGUCAUGGGUUUGAAUCUCUGUGAAGACUCGGAUUAAAAAUUUUUAGAUUUUUGGGUGCCCCUGAGUCCACCUAACUCUAAUGGGUAGCUGACUUUUGUUUUGAAAAGUAAAGAUGGUUGGUUGUUGUGCUGGCCACAUGAUGCACUGGCCAAAGAAUCAAAUGACCUUAACAUCAUCUGCCCUAUAGAUUGUGACGUCUGAAAUGGGAUAUUUUUUCAAAAGGUGGUUGGUUGUUGUGCUGGGUACAUGACACCCUCGCUAACCAUGGGGCACAGAAACUGAUAAACUUUAUAUCAUCUGCCCCAUAGAUUGCAAGAUAUGUAAGGGAAAUUUUACUUUUUUAAAAUUAAAAUAAGAAUCUAUCAAAAGUAAACAUAAAAUAUGAUGUAUUCUCCUUAAAACUAAAACCUGGUGCGAAGGUUUAAAAUGUUGGCAAAAAAAAAGCAACAUCAUAUAUUCUUAAUUCCCUUUCCAAAACUUACUGAGAAGAACAUGCAUGUUGUUCCCUCAUAAGUUUCUUGACAGAGGAAAUCUUGCUUAUAUUAGAUUUGAAUUAAGCAAAUUAAGAAAAAAGAAAAAAAUUAUAAUCAUUAUUUCAAAUGGUUGUAUCUAAACCUUAUGAAUUAUUUUUCCGUUAUAAGUAUAUUGAGAUUAAUGGAUAAUCAUGAAAUUGUUAAAUAAUUGCUGCUGUCAUUCCAUUGACUAAAGAACCAUAAUUUUUUUUUUUUUUAAAUUAAUUUCAAAAUGAUUUUUUUCAAGCAUAGAGUUCACAUAGAUCUUGAGUGAAUUUUUUUUUUUUUAUUUGACUAAUGCUUCAAUUUUAUUGUAUCAUAUUAGUUGUUAAUUUUUAUUACCCAGAAUAUUUAAAAAAUGAGUACACUAUUUUCAUGUAAUAAUGUAACUUGGUAUUCACACAAUGCUCAAAAUACACCAUAAUCUUUAGGCCAUACAGAUUUGUAUAAAUUAACUUGUUUAAAUACAUUGUAAAUGUAUAUUGUUUGGAUAAGAAUAAAGUUUUUCUGUAGACAA
This is a long non-coding RNA of Biomphalaria glabrata, 3418 nucleotides long. RefSeq lists it as uncharacterized. NCBI's taxonomy places the organism in Eukaryota, Metazoa, Mollusca, Gastropoda, Planorbidae. The record is from RefSeq and is a predicted model, not a curated record. The transcript has 5 exons.